GUAAUAGGGGCAAGUGAGUACUUCUAAACACAAUAUACAUAUAGAAUAAUUACCACAUAUAAGCAUUAGAAUACUUUUUUUUUUUUUUGAGACACCUAGGCUGUCACCUAGGCUGUCACCUAGGCUGGAAUGCAGUGGCAUGAUCCCAGCUCCCUGCAACCUCCACCUCCCAGCUUCAAGUGAUUCUUGUGCCUCAGCCACCCAAAUAGCUGGAACUACAGCAUGCACCACCACACCAGGCUAAUUUUGUAUUUAACUCCUGACCUCAAGCAAUCUGCCUCUCUCAGCCUCCCAAAGUGUUGGGAUUACAGGCGUGAGCCAUCAUACCCAGCCUACUUUUUAAAAGAUAAAGGCCCUAUAAGCUUUACAUCAAAGCUGAAUGACCAUACAAUUUGAUCCAUCUUUUAAAAGCAUUAAUUUAUAGCUCUGAAAUAAAUAUCAGUAACAUCUUUGGCAUAACUCUAUAGA
RNAcentral lists this long non-coding RNA (468 nucleotides) under Homo sapiens (human). Its description in RNAcentral is "HSALNT0147300". Lineage: Eukaryota; Metazoa; Chordata; Mammalia; Primates; Hominidae. The record is from RNAcentral.